RNAcentral lists this ribosomal RNA (497 nucleotides) under uncultured bacterium. RNAcentral's name for it is "partial 16S ribosomal RNA". It matches the Rfam family "Bacterial small subunit ribosomal RNA", at positions 28 to 507 of the family's 1533-position model. The record is from RNAcentral.
GAUGAACGCUGGCGGCGUGCCUAAUACAUGCAAGUCGAGCGAACGGACGAGAAGCUUGCUUCUCUGAUGUUAGCGGCGGACGGGUGAGUAACACGUGGAUAACCUACCUAUAAGACUGGGAUAACUUCGGGAAACCGGAGCUAAUACCGGAUGAUAUUUUGAACCGCAUGGUUCAAAAGUGAAAGACGGUCUUGCUGUCACUUAUAGAUGGAUCCGCGCUGCAUUAGCUAGUUGGUAAGGUAACGGCUUACCAAGGCAACGAUGCAUAGCCGACCUGAGAGGGUGAUCGGCCACACUGGAACUGAGACACGGUCCAGACUCCUACGGGAGGCAGCAGUAGGGAAUCUUCCGCAAAGGGCGAAAGCCUGACGGAGCAACGCCGCGUGAGUGAUGAAGGUCUUCGGAUCGUAAAACUCUGUUAUUAGGGAAGAACAUAUGUGUAAGUAACUGUGCACAUCUUGACGGUACCUAAUCAGAAAGCCGCGGCUAACUACGUG